Molecule: ribosomal RNA, 3020 nt
Filed under: Metarhizium anisopliae
Lineage: Eukaryota; Fungi; Ascomycota; Sordariomycetes; Hypocreales; Clavicipitaceae
Description: large subunit ribosomal RNA
Rfam family: Bacterial large subunit ribosomal RNA
Source: RNAcentral
UAUUAGAAAUAUAGUCUUAAAGAAAACUGAUAUAUAAUUAUUAAUUAUAAAUAUAUAAGUAUAUAAAGGAACUAUUAUGGAAUUUAAGCUAUGUAUUAAAGAGAAUUAGUUAUAUAAAUAAGAUAAAGAUCUUAUAAGUAUAUAAACUCUAAGAGAAAUCUAAUACUAAACGAAGUGGAAUUGAAAUAUCUUAGUAACUUCAGGAAAAGAAAUCAAAAGAGAUUCUAUGAAUAGCGUGAGCGGAAGUAGAGGAGCCUAAAAAGUAGAACGGUAUCAAAACUGUUUAAACAUUGGGGAACUUCCUCAAAGGCUAAAUAUAAUACAUCAGCGAUAGUGAAAAGUACCAUGGGGAACAAAAACAAAAAUAGUAGUUUUAAUAAGCAGUUCGAUAAAAAGAACGUACCUUUUGCAUAAUGGGUCACCAAGUUAACAUUAGAUGCGAGCUGUAUUAGCAUGCGUAGUCAAACCGAACGUUAAAAUAACGAAUAAGUGUCUAAAGUUAGACCCGAAGCCAGGUGAUUUUACCAUAGUCAGGAUUAUAAAAGUCCGAACGGGUGAUUGUAGCAAAAAUCUCCGAAGAACUGUGGUAGGUGUAGUGAAAGACAACACUGACUUGGAUAGCUGGUUUUCUGCGAAACCUAUAAUAGUAGGCAAUUUAAAUAAACAUCUUAGCAGGUACAGAAUUUAAUCUCAGACAAGGCGUUUUAUACGUUUUAUAUUGUACAAAUUGGGGGACCAUGAAGGUUUUAUCAGUGAGUAUGUAGACUCGGAAUGGCAAAGAUGUAUUUUGAAUGAUCAGACAUAGAAUGAUAAGGUUGUAUGUCGAAAGGGAAACAGCCCAGAACAAGAGUUAAGGUUCCUAAAUUAUUAGUUGAGUGAAAUUAAGAAGGUUUUUAUUAAAGUCGACAAGGAGAUAGGCUUAGAAGCAGCCAUAAUUUUAUGACCUCGUAACAGAGCGCUUGUUAAGUUAUAAAAGCAUCGAAAAUAUAACGGAUCUAAACAAUAUACCGAAACCUUGUCCAUUAUAUAUUAUAAUAUUAUUAUUAUUAUAAUUCAAUGGGGUAGCAGAACGUUGAGCUAAAUUAUGAGUUUUAUUUUUUAAAUAGAAUGAUAACGAUUUAACUCAAGUGAGAAUGGUGACAUGAGUAACUAAAAGAAAAUUUUCCGCCUUAAGCUUAUGGAUAUAUUUAAGUAACGGCCUCUAAGUUUAUAUUAUCUAAAGAUUUAAACGAUGAGAAAAUCUUUUUUACUAAGGACGACAUUUUAGUGUAAAAUGUACUGGAAAAAUAGUAAAUAUAUUUAUAGUUAGCUUAGCUUCUAUAAAUGAAGAAUAACCGUACCUAGAAUCUGAAACAAGUAAGCUAGUAGAGAAUACGAAGGCGUAAAUGAGCUAACAAUCAUAAAGGAACUCGGCAAAUUGACUACCGUAACUUCGGAAUAAGGAGGGCUCAUUAUUCUUGAUUAAUAUCAAGUAAAGAGGAAGAAGCAUGAAAUAAUGUUGUACGACUGUUUAAUUAAAACACAGCACUCUGCUGAAAGAUUAAAAAUCUAAGUAUAGAGUGUGAUAUCUGCCCGGUGCCGGCUGGUUAACAGAGAUAAUUGAAUAUACUACUAUUUGAUGUCGACGGAAACCCCGGUUAAAGGCGGCCUUAACGUGAGGGUCCUAAGGUAGCGAAAUGCCUUGGCCGUUAAAUGCGGUCUUGCAUGAAUGGUGUAACGAUACAACAGCUGUCUCUAUGAUUGACUCAGUGAAAUUGGAAUAGCAGUGCAGAUACUGCUUAACUCUAGUUAGACGAGAAGACCCUAUGCAGCUUUACUGUCACUAAUUAUAGAUUAUGAUAGACAAUUUUCAGAUUAUAAGGUAAUUGAUUUAUGACAAUGAGAAACCUUUAUUUUUCUUUCAUAUGAAUGAAUUGGUUUAGGAGUAUAAGUAGAUUGUAAUUUAUGUGGCUUUACUGAGCCAAUUUGUUAAAUUAUAGUCUGUAUGCUUAUACUAGUAGAUCAGCCUAAUUCAACUUAUUAUAUUUAUUAUAGUAAGUACCCUUUGGUAAGGAACUAUCGCUAGGGGACAGUUUAUGUGGGGCACAGACCCUGUAAAGAGUAAACAGGAGUGUCUAAAAAUUUAUAAAUAUUUUGUUUGCUAUUUUGAAUAGUUUAACUAUUCUUAAUCAUAUACAAUUAAUUAUAUUUGCAUUUAUUGUAAAUAUAGUUAAGAUUAGGUAGGAUUUUCACUAUAUAGAAAUUAGAGAUAAUAAAGAUAUUAUGGAAACUCUUCUAAUAUCUUUUAGCUAUCUUUUAGAUAGUUAUGUUUACAAUAUCUAAAAAGCUCAACGGCUUAAUCCUGCCUUACUGUUUGAUUAUCUACAAAUCUUACAGUUGCGUAAGCAGGGCAUAGGAUCACAAGAUGCAACAAGGAAAGAUCUUGGAUUAUUGUAAAAGUUACGCUAGGGAUGAACAGGCUAAUUUGCGCAAGAGUGUACAAAAUGAGUGCGCGGUUUGGCACCUCGAUGUCGGCUUAACUUAUCCUCAUGGACGCAGGAACUAUGUAGGGUGCGACUGUUCGUCGAUUAAAGAGUUACAUGAGCUGGGUUAAAUACGACGUGAGACAGUAUGGUUUCUAUCCUCUAGGGGGAAUUAGAAUAAAAUAAGAACUAACUUUUGUACGCAAGGAACAAGAAGAGUUUAACAUUGUUAGACUAUGGUUACUAACCUAUGGUUUACCUGUUGUUUAUGUGCCCAAAUAUUAAAUAUAUAUACUUUUGUAUAUAUAUCUGUAUUAUUUCGAUAAUACAUAGGGAUGUAUCUUUCACCUAAGAUAAUGUAUAGCCAUAAACACGGCAGGAAAGCUAAGUUGGUUAAGGAUAAGUGCUGAAAGCAUAAUAGGCACGAAGCUUAUCUUAAGAUAUUUCUUAAAUAUACGUAGCAUAAUACUACGAAUUUAUAGGCUUUAUCCGUAAGAAUCUAGAGAUUUUAAAGAUUAAAGUACUAAUUUAAUAAUUUACUAUUUAUACAUAUAUCAA